CACGUAGUUAGCCGGGGCUUCCUCCAAGGGUACCGUCAUUAUCUUCCCCAAGGACAGAAGUUUACGAUCCGAAGACCUUCUUCCUUCACGCGGCGUUGCUGCAUCAGGCUUUCGCCCAUUGUGCAAUAUUCCCCACUGCUGCCUCCCGUAGGAGUUUGGACCGUGUCUCAGUUUCCAAUGUGGCCGAUCACCCUCUCAGGUCGGCUACUGAUCGUCGCCUUGGUAGGCCGUUACCCCACCAACUAGCUAAUCAGACGCAGGCCCAUCCUUUGCCGAUAAAUCUUUGACCAAACAGCCAUGUGACUAUUUAGUAUUAUGAGGUUUUAAUCAUCGUUUCCAAUGGCUAUCCCUCUGCAAAGGGCAGGUUGCCUACGCGUUACUCACCCGUCCGCCGCUCUCCAUCUUAAAAAUCUACCGAAGCUUCAUUUUAAAAUUUCCCGACUCGACUUGCAUGUGUUAGGCACGCCGCCAGCGUUCACUCCUGACGCCAGGAUCAAACUCU
This 502-nucleotide ribosomal RNA is filed under the name uncultured Anaerovorax sp. Its description in RNAcentral is "partial 16S ribosomal RNA". The record is from RNAcentral. Lineage: Bacteria; Bacillati; Bacillota; Clostridia; Peptostreptococcales; Anaerovoracaceae.